AACAAAAGAAUACAUACAGGUCACUUUAAGACACAAAGUCCUACGCUGUAAACAGGAAGCUCUACCCCAGCCUCCUGGAUGCUAAUCCAGUCUUCCGGCCCUACGCCUCCAGCCUGUUCCCCCUACUCCCAGAGUGGGCUGCCUGCUCUUAGUCCUGUCCAUGUUCAUCUUACGCAGGACUUCAUCCUGGACCCCAGGUCUUCAUAUCCAGCUGUCAUUCUAGCCUUCAAGUUGCUGUUGGCAGGACCAGAACCAUCAUGCCCUAACCCUUGGCUGUCAUCUGGUUCACGGCAGCAGCCCCUCUUCCAGGGGAGUUUCAAGAGCUUCUUCUCUCUAGGAUUCUGAACAUGGCCACUGAUGGGCUUUGGUCUGGACAUUCUUGCUUUCAUUGUAUUGGAAGUUUGUCUAGUCCUUUCAGUGUGGAACAUGACUGCCUUCAGUUCUGGGAUGUUGCUGGAAACAUUCUUCAAAAACUAUCUGUCUUCUCUCUGUAACUCCUGUACACUGAAGGGCGGCUUUUGGGAGGGACCCAUAUCUUUUCUAUAUCUGACCAACUCAUGCUUUGUUCUGCUUUAACAACUUUAUUUCCAACCUCUCCACUGGAUUUUUUUUUAAUUACUCAAUGAAUUUUAUUACAUUUAUAGUUCUACAACGAUCAUAAGAACCCAAUUUUAUAGCAUUUCCACUGGAUUUUAAAACCCCUUUAGCACACGCUCCACUGUUAAGGGCAGUCCCCUCCUCUUUGAUUGCUCCUUGUCACACCGCCCUGUUCUUCCUUUAGGGAGGCAACAGUUUUAUUCUGAGAGUAAUCAGAGGACCUUAUUAAAGUCUUCUUCUGCCCCCGUGCAUAUCUCUUUUCUCCUGGUUCCUUCUGAAAGCUUCCUUUGCAUUGGUCUCUGCUUUUUGUAUUAGCGGCUUUGUCACGUGUCUGGUGACCCUUGGCUCUCCUUUCAUAGUUAAGGGAAAGUCCCUAAAAAGCUGGCUGGAUGUUUGUGCACAUGAGCUGGUGAGGUGUGGUGGUUGUCUGGGCCAUGCACAGGCAGGGUAGUCCUCCUCUUUGGGGCACAUUCGGUUAAAAAGGAGGGAGGGGGGCAGGACACAACCCUUAAAGAAUGACAGAGCCGGUACAGACAAGACAAAAAUUGCUUAGAACAAUUAGGCCUAAGAUGGCAGAAGGUGUGCCUUCCAGUGCACCUCGAGCCUUAUUCUAUACCCACAGUAAUACAUUAGCAGCUAAAGGACAUGCUCACAGGCACCAGGACAGUUCCAAGGCCAACAAUAAAAGGCCAAAAAGUGGGCAGUGGCCCAAUUCCUCAAAAUCCCUGCCGCUUCCUCAAGUGGUCAGAAUAAUCCUCCCACUCAUUAGCCUAUGAAAUUACUCAGCUCAUAAAAAUUCCCCACCCCAUAUUUCAGGGCCUCUCACCUUCUGUCUAUCAAUAAAUCUACUUCUUACUUACUGCUUUGACCCUUGCUGAAUUCCUUCUGCACUGAGAUAUAAAAAACCUGAACUUCAGUAAGUCCUGAGACCAAGUAUAUUAUUUUAAUUUUAAAAUGGUGGGUUCAGGAGUUUCUGUCGUGGCUCAGAGGUUAAUGAAUCUGACUAGCAUUCGUGAGGAUGUGGGUUUGAUCCCUGGCCUCACUCACUGGGUUAAGGAUCCAGCAUUGCUGUGAGCUGUGGUGUAGGUUGCAGACAUGGCCCAGAUGCCACUUGCUGUGGCUGUGAUGUAGGCCAGCAGCUAUAGCUCUGAUUCGACCCCUAGCUUGGGAACCUCCAUAUGCCAUGGGUGUAGCCCUAAAAAUAAAGUCCCAGUCUGAGUUGUGCAAUUUCAGCAAGGUCUUUGAUUUACCUAUGGUUGUUAGGGGACGGUUGACUAUAACCAACUGCCUUGUCCAGGCAGGAUAAUAGCUGCUUGCAUGAGCUGUCCCACAGCAGGGAGCCCUGAUAAGGAACACGUCGCUGCCCUGAAGACUAACUGGGAGGAUCUGGGACGGGCCAGUAGGAGAGAGGAGACCACCAACAUCCCAGGAUCUCUGGAGCUGGCAUCCAUCUUGGCUGAGAGAUGCACACAUCACCAGGAAGAACCCUUAGCCAGAUCAAGUACAGGCUAAGCAAGACAACUGGCCAGAGACUAUCUGGAAACUAACCCCCAUUCCCAUAAAACCUGAGGCUGGGAGCCAGAUAGCAGAGCAGUUCUCCUGGGUUCCCUCACUUGCUGCUCUCUGCCUGGACGCCCCUCCCCAGUAAAGUCUUUUGCUUUGUCAGCACAUGUCUCCUUGGACAAUUCAUUUCUAAGUGUUAGGCAAGAGCCCGUUCUCAGGCCCUGGAAGGGGUUAUCCCUUCUGGUCAUGUGCCUCAUGGUGAUGAAUAACAUUGAGCAGAGGUGAUGUCCUCUCCCCUUGUGCCAUGUCAAGCAGUAGACCUCCAGAAGGAGUUCCCAUCAUGGCUCAGCAGAAACGAAUCUGACUAGCAUACAGGAGGAUGCAGGUUCGAUCCCUGGCCUCACUCAGUGGGUUAAAGAUCCCGUGUUGCCAUAAGCUGUGGUGUAAGUCAUGAACAUAGGCUGGAUCUGACGUUGCUGGGGCUGUGGCAUGGGCUAGCAGCUACAGCUCCAAUUCGACCCCUAGUCUGGGAACCUCCAUAUGCCGUGGGUUCAUUCCUAAGAUAAAUAAAUAAAUAAAUAAAUAAAUGCCACUGAGAUUCUAGAAUAGCAUAACCUCGACUCUCCUGAAGACACAAAAACUGACACAUAGGGGUGGGCGGGGCUGCCACAUAAAUACCUAAAAUACAUCAACUUAGUGGUCUGGCAGUAAACAAGAUUUAUCAGAGCAUCACAAGUGAGAGGAAAAGGGAACAUUUGGAAAAUGUUCAUGGAGACACCUUGGGAAAUAUAAAGUGACUGUGAUGAUUAAUGUAAGUAAGGUGACUGGGCCACAGGUGCCCAUACUUGGUUAAACCCUCUCUGGGUGUGUCUGAGAGGUUGUUUGUGGAUAAGAUUAGCAUUUGAAUUGUGAACCCAGUGAAGCAGAUGCUUUCCAAUGGUGGCGGUGUGGGUGGGGGGUGUUUCAUCCAACCUGCUAAGGAGCUGAAAAGAACAAAAGGCCGAAUAAGAGCUGGGACAUAGGUCUUCUGCCUCCAGAUUCCAAUCUGGCCUAGAACUGACUUCAUUGGCCCUCCUGGUUCUCAGGCCUCUAUAAAUCUAGACGGAUCCAUAAACACAUCUAUCCAGACACACACUGAGAGAGAUUAGAUUAUAGAUAUAGAUGAAGUUAUAGAUACAGAGAUAGAAAUACAUCCUAUUGGCCUGGUGUCCCCAACAGAAUAGUCUAUGAUCUUGCAGCUCGAGGAAACUGGAGUAUUGAGAGCAUCCCUGCAUUGAUGGCAGGUGCAUUUGGCAUAAGGCUUAAUAUGAAACGUAGUGAUGAGGUUUAGAAGAGAGUGUGUGGGCAUUCAAGCAGGAAUGCAAAGGAAGAGAGUCAAUAAUUUGGGGAUUUCCAUUGUUAGAAGCAGGAACUCCUUCUCAAAGCCAAAUAGUAACAGAAAGAAAAGGCCUAUGAGGUCUAUGAGAAAAAGAUUUUAAAGGAUGAUUAUCAGUAGCCUUGAAGUAAGAACCACAAAAGCAUAGCCACCAAAUUCAUGGUUAAAACAAAGGUGUUUGUU
Molecule: long non-coding RNA, 3658 nt
Filed under: Sus scrofa (pig)
Lineage: Eukaryota; Metazoa; Chordata; Mammalia; Artiodactyla; Suidae
Description: lncRNA (ENSSSCG00000052055.1)
Source: RNAcentral